AGGACCCGAUCCAAAUUCCACUUUGGAAUCCGAGCCAGACCCUGUGCGUGUCCGACACCUGGCGAAUGUCGGGCACAAAUGAUCUAUUUGCCCUUCUAUACAAACAUGCUAAAAAUAAUAAGGUUGACUUCUACCGAAAAACCGGCAGAGUUUCCCUUGUAUCUGGCUCAAUACCAAAAUCUUACACCUGUCAAAACAAGUAUAUAUGUACAACCAACUGCCAGCAUACAUAUAUAUAUUCCAACAGUUCAAAUCUCAGUCUAGGGCAAAACAUCAGAGCGACUACUAAAAAUUUACAAAAGAGUGAAUCUUUGUACAAAAUACAAAUCCUACAUCAAAGAAAGGCGCGGAAGAUGGGAAGUGGCCCGGUGGUGGAUUCCUGUGCACGUCUACUGCCUGGGGGCGCAAAACAACAAGAAGGGUGAGUGGACCCAAAAACAAAGUUAAGAAAAUACUAUAUGAACAUACUAACCCCACUGUAAAAACAGUUAUACAAACUAGCUUAUUUUCUUUAUUUCUAAAAUCAAUGCAUGUAUAUAACUAUACAUUUGAAAACACUUUAAAACUAUCACCGAGGUGUACCCUAUUUCCGUCAAUUCCUUAUAUCCGUCAAUUCCUUGCAUCACCAUGGGUGGCGCAUACUCGCAGGUCUCAGUGACAAGAGGUCAGUCUGAGCCGCAACUCGCAGGAUUCAAGGAACCGUAGUCCGUCUUUAUCCGCAUUACUCGCUCCACACGAGUUCGAGUACCAAGGAACUCGUGGGGCAACUGUCAAGCAUGCUGACUAAACCGAAGGCAACAAAUAUAAUCCGAAGGCAACAUGUAAUAACUGGGUACAAGGUGGUUUAAGAAAAUAUAAAGUUUCUGAAGAAAAUCUUAUGAAUAAUUAACUUUCUGUAACCUUUAAAAUUCUGCUGCCAUUUAUCUGAUAAUUAACGAGAAUAUCUUUUCGUAUAUUCUUAAAAGGAAACUUCACUCGGCAGCAUGUAACAUAAAAUAUUUAACAGCAUAAAACAGCUUAUAACUGAAACUGAACUGCUUAACUGAAACUGAACUGAUUAAAUUCAUUUAUAAAAACAAAGAGUCCACUCACUGAUAGUCUGAGCUCGCUGGACCUCUUGAAGGUCCCUCCUGCGGGUCAACUGGUGCCCGGGUGCCUGAUUCAAUGACCAUAAUAUUCUAUUAAUACAAUAUAGUAUUAAAUUAAAAACCCUACCCCCGGCUCCUAAAAGUACGUGCGUCAAUUUAAAGUGAUCCCUAUGCCCAUAACAGCUCUCCUUCCACGUGGGAUAGUUUAGCGAUAUCUUGGGACUCAAAAAGCGCUAAAGUCCAAAAAGUCAAUCCGGAACCCCACGGGUAUAAUAUGAUCCGGAUGCCGCUAAAAGGUCCAAUAUAUUUAGGACACAUGUCCCGAGGGUAUUGGUGUCAAUCGGACGGUCGGAUUGAUCACGAUCGUGUAAUCACAUAAUUUCUAAACCCUAGCCCUAGGGUUCGCGAUUUCGGAGUAUCCGGGACUCCGAUUCGCCAUCCGUCGAAUCCUACACAAUCCUGAAAUCAUGUAGACCGACAUAUCCAAAAUUCAGUGUGAUCCACCGAUUUGGCGACACUGCACCCAAAGAUCGCGCGAUAUGAAAAAUCCGUUCGGGGCUCAAACGAACUCCGAAUCGAGAUCCGCGAAAUCCUACGUGCUCGUGACGACACGAGGGUCACAAAACUGUACAACAUGACUUCACCACCCUCGCCCAUGCGCCCCAGCGCGCGGGCAGAUUCGGGUGUCUUAAGCGAUUUCGGGUGGCCGAAAAAUCUCGGAACCAGGACUCCAAACUCUUAUCCUAGGUAAAACACCCCAUUUGGAGUCACUUUUGUUCUUGGACCUACCCCAAAAAGUGACUGGAAGUGGCCGAAAACAGAGGCCGAAAAUCGGCUGAAACUUCAAUUUAUAAACUGGGCAAUCUACGGCUAAAAUUGAUAAAAACCUAUCCAACCAUCAGCUAGAGCACGAAAAAUAGAUGAGAAUCCAUACCUUACUCGAAAGAUUUGGUUGAGAAUUGAGGGAGAACGAAGGGUUGGAAGUUUAGCCCAAAAACUGGCGGUUUUCUCCUUUUUCCGGCCAACUCCGGUCAGCUCGUGGGCGGAGAACGAUCAGGUCUUGACGGCGAGGGCGUGGCGGAGCUAUUGGUACCAACGCCGGAGAUUGGCGUGCCCUGUGGUGGCCGCUGUCUCAAUUGGAAGGGAGGAGGGUGGCUGGCGCGACGGGAGGGAGGAGAGAGAGAGAGGAG
Molecule: long non-coding RNA, 2278 nt
Filed under: Prunus persica (peach)
Lineage: Eukaryota; Viridiplantae; Streptophyta; Magnoliopsida; Rosales; Rosaceae
Description: long non-coding RNA (PPER_LNC001799)
Source: RNAcentral